This is a non-coding RNA of Macaca mulatta (Rhesus monkey), 529 nucleotides long. The record is from RefSeq and is a predicted model, not a curated record. Lineage: Eukaryota; Metazoa; Chordata; Mammalia; Primates; Cercopithecidae.
GUUCCAUAGCAUAAUCCUUGAAAGCCCUGAGGCCCAGACCGCUCGCUGUCCUUCUUUCCUCUCCACUGACUCCCAUCCUCGAUAUACUUUCUAUGAGAGAAAGAUCUGAUUGAAAAUGGCCCAUGGAGUACAACCACCUGGGAACAUAUUCUUGAGAAAGACAGUUGAGGCUUAUUGCCUAAACCACAGGCUACUGAAAACUUGGCCAAAGGCGACUACUCUAGACUGGUGACUUCAAAAGUGCUGAUGAAUACAGUGAACUGUGAAAGAUGCAUGAUUUGUUUUGAACAUUUUACUAUGAUUGAUGACCCAGAUUUGGCAAGUUAGUUCACUCCCAGUGGAGAUGGAAGUUUCACUGCCUUCUUUCUUUCAACAUUCUUGUUGAGACAGAUUUCACUUUUAUUGGCCAAUGUACUAACAAAUCACUUGCAUUUGCAGCAUAAUGAAUUCAUUAGCAACACUGUGGAUCAAUGCUGUACAUAAUAUUCCUGAGUCAACAUUAACUCUUAAUUAAAUUUCCAUAGUAUAA